CCUACGGGGGGCUGCAGUGGGGAAUUUUGGACAAUGGGGGCAACCCUGAUCCAGCCAUGCCGCGUGCGGGAAGAAGGCCUUCGGGUUGUAAACCGCUUUCGGCCGGAACGAAAUCGCCGGGGAGAACAUCCCCGGUGGAUGACGGUACCGGAAGAAGAAGCACCGGCUAACUACGUGCCAGCAGCCGCGGUAAUACGUCGGGUGCGAACUGGGAUCGGAAUUACUGCGGGUAAAGCGUUCACACAGAUGUGAAGUCCCCGGGCUUAACCUGGGAACUGCGUUUGUGACUGGCGGGCUGGAGUGCGGAAGAGGGAGGUGGAAUUCCACGUGUAGCAGUGAAAUGCGUAGAGAUGUGGAGGAACACCGAUGGCGAAGGCAGCCUCCUGGUCUAGCACUGACGCUCAUGCACGAAAGCGUGGGGAGCAAACAGGAUUAGAUACCCGAGUAGUC
This 450-nucleotide ribosomal RNA is filed under the name uncultured bacterium. RNAcentral describes it as "partial 16S ribosomal RNA". It matches the Rfam family "Bacterial small subunit ribosomal RNA", at positions 338 to 795 of the family's 1533-position model. The record is from RNAcentral.